CCUACGGGAGGCUGCAGUAGGGAAUCUUCCACAAUGGGCGAAAGCCUGAUGGAGCAACGCCGCGUGGGUGAAGAAGGUCUUCGGAUCGUAAAACCCUGUUGUUAGAGAAGAAAGUGCGUGAGAGUAACUGUUCACGUUUCGACGGUAUCUAACCAGAAAGCCACGGCUAACUACGUGCCAGCAGCCGCGGUAAUACGUAGGUGGCAAGCGUUAUCCGGAUUUAUUGGGCGUAAAGGGAACGCAGGCGGUCUUUUAAGUCUGAUGUGAAAGCCUUCGGCUUAACCGGAGUAGUGCAUUGGAAACUGGGAGACUGGAGGGCAGAAGAGGAGAGUGGAACUCCAUGUGUAGCGGUGAAAUGCGUAGAUAUAUGGAAGAACACCAGUGGCGAAAGCGGCUCUCUGGUCUGUAACUGACGCUGAGGUUCGAAAGCGUGGGUAGCAAACAGGAUUAGUACCCGAGUAGUC
This 464-nucleotide ribosomal RNA is filed under the name uncultured bacterium. RNAcentral's name for it is "partial 16S ribosomal RNA". It matches the Rfam family "Bacterial small subunit ribosomal RNA", at positions 338 to 795 of the family's 1533-position model. The record is from RNAcentral.